GGGUUGUGAGGUUAAGCGACUAAGCGUACACGGUGGAUGCCUAGGCAGUCAGAGGCGAUGAAGGGCGUGCUAAUCUGCGAAAAGCGUCGGUAAGGUGAUAUGAACCGUUACAACCGACGAUACCCGAAUGGGGAAACCCAGUGCAAUUCGUUGCACUAUUGCAUGGUGAAUACAUAGCCAUGCAAGGCGAACCGGGGGAACUGAAACAUCUAAGUACCCCGAGGAAAAGAAAUCAACCGAGAUUCCCCUAGUAGCGGCGAGCGAACGGGGAGGAGCCCAGAGUCUGAAUCAGUUUGUGUGUUAGUGGAAGCGUCUGGAAAGUCGCACGGUACAGGGUGAUAGUCCCGUACACAAAAACACACUUGCUGUGAACUCGAUGAGUAGGGCGGGACACGUGACAUCCUGUCUGAAUAUGGGGGGACCAUCCUCCAAGGCUAAAUACUCCUGACUGACCGAUAGUGAACCAGUACCGUGAGGGAAAGGCGAAAAGAACCCCGGCGAGGGGAGUGAAAUAGAACCUGAAACCGUGUACGUACAAGCAGUGGGAGCACCUUCGUGGUGUGACUGCGUACCUUUUGUAUAAUGGGUCAGCGACUUAUAUUUUGUAGCAAGGUUAACCGAAUAGGGGAGCCGUAGGGAAACCGAGUCUUAACUGGGCGUCUAGUUGCAAGGUAUAGACCCGAAACCCGGUGAUCUAGCCAUGGGCAGGUUGAAGGUUGGGUAACACUAACUGGAGGACCGAACCGACUAAUGUUGAAAAAUUAGCGGAUGACUUGUGGCUGGGGGUGAAAGGCCAAUCAAACCGGGAGAUAGCUGGUUCUCCCCGAAAGCUAUUUAGGUAGCGCCUCGUGAACUCAUCUUCGGGGGUAGAGCACUGUUUCGGCUAGGGGGUCAUCCCGACUUACCAAACCGAUGCAAACUCCGAAUACCGAAGAAUGUUAUCACGGGAGACACACGGCGGGUGCUAACGUCCGUCGUGAAGAGGGAAACAACCCAGACCGCCAGCUAAGGUCCCAAAGUCAUGGUUAAGUGGGAAACGAUGUGGGAAGGCAUAGACAGCCAGGAUGUUGGCUUAGAAGCAGCCAUCAUUUAAAGAAAGCGUAAUAGCUCACUGGUCGAGUCGGCCUGCGCGGAAGAUGUAACGGGGCUAAACCAUGCACCGAAGCUGCGGCAGCGACACUUAGGUGUUGUUGGGUAGGGGAGCGUUCUGUAAGCCGUUGAAGGUGACCUGUGAGGGUUGCUGGAGGUAUCAGAAGUGCGAAUGCUGACAUAAGUAACGAUAAUGCGGGUGAAAAACCCGCACGCCGGAAGACCAAGGGUUCCUGUCCAACGUUAAUCGGGGCAGGGUGAGUCGACCCCUAAGGCGAGGCUGAAAAGCGUAGUCGAUGGGAAACAGGUUAAUAUUCCUGUACUUGGUGUUACUGCGAAGGGGGGACGGAGAAGGCUAGGCUAGCCGGGCGACGGUUGUCCCGGUUUAAGCAUGUAGGCGGAGCGACUUGGUAAAUCCGGUUGCUUAUCAACGCUGAGGUGUGAUGACGAGUCACUACGGUGAUGAAGUAGUUGAUGCCAAGCUUCCAGGAAAAGCCUCUAAGCAUCAGGUAACAUUAAAUCGUACCCCAAACCGACACAGGUGGUCAGGUAGAGAAUACUCAGGCGCUUGAGAGAACUCGGGUGAAGGAACUAGGCAAAAUGGUGCCGUAACUUCGGGAGAAGGCACGCUGGCAUUAGGUAAAGGGACUUGCUCCCGGCGCCGAAGCCAGUCGCAGAUACCAGCUGGCUGCAACUGUUUAAUAAAAACACAGCACUGUGCAAACACGAAAGUGGACGUAUACGGUGUGACGCCUGCCCGGUGCUGGAAGGUUAAUUGAUGGGGUCAGCCGCAAGGCGAAGCUCUUGAUCGAAGCCCCAGUAAACGGCGGCCGUAACUAUAACGGUCCUAAGGUAGCGAAAUUCCUUGUCGGGUAAGUUCCGACCUGCACGAAUGGCGUAAUGAUGGCCAGGCUGUCUCCACCCGAGACUCAGUGAAAUUGAACUCGCUGUGAAGAUGCAGUGUACCCGCGGCAAGACGGAAAGACCCCGUGAACCUUUACUAUAGCUUGACACUGAACAUUGAGCCUUGAUGUGUAGGAUAGGUGGGAGGCAUUGAAGUGUGGACGCCAGUCUGCAUGGAGCCAACCUUGAAAUACCACCCUUUAAUGUUUGAUGUUCUAACUCGGCCCCGUAAUCCGGGGUGAGGACAGUGUCUGGUGGGUAGUUUGACUGGGGCGGUCUCCUCCCAAAGAGUAACGGAGGAGCACGAAGGUUAGCUAAUCACGGUCGGACAUCGUGAGGUUAGUGCAAAGGCAUAAGCUAGCUUGACUGCGAGAGUGACGGCUCGAGCAGGUACGAAAGUAGGUCUUAGUGAUCCGGUGGUUCUGAAUGGAAGGGCCAUCGCUCAACGGAUAAAAGGUACUCCGGGGAUAACAGGCUGAUACCGCCCAAGAGUUCAUAUCGACGGCGGUGUUUGGCACCUCGAUGUCGGCUCAUCACAUCCUGGGGCUGAAGUAGGUCCCAAGGGUAUGGCUGUUCGCCAUUUAAAGUGGUACGCGAGCUGGGUUUAGAACGUCGUGAGACAGUUCGGUCCCUAUCUGCCGUGGGCGUUGGAAGAUUGAGAGGGGCUGCUCCUAGUACGAGAGGACCGGAGUGGACGAAUCACUGGUGUUCGGGUUGUCAUGCCAAUGGCAUUGCCCGGUAGCUAAAUUCGGAAGAGAUAACCGCUGAAAGCAUCUAAGCGGGAAACUUGCCUCGAGAUGAGUCUUCCCUGGGGCUUUAAGCCCCCUGAAGGAACGUUAAAGACUAUGACGUUGAUAGGCUGGGUGUGUAAGUGCAGCGAUGCAUUGAGCUAACCAGUACUAAUGAUCCGUGAGGCUUAACCUUACAACACCAAAGGUGUUUUG
RNAcentral lists this ribosomal RNA (2936 nucleotides) under Yersinia kristensenii. RNAcentral describes it as "partial 23S ribosomal RNA". It matches the Rfam family "Bacterial large subunit ribosomal RNA". Lineage: Bacteria; Pseudomonadati; Pseudomonadota; Gammaproteobacteria; Enterobacterales; Yersiniaceae. The record is from RNAcentral.